RNAcentral lists this ribosomal RNA (253 nucleotides) under uncultured bacterium. RNAcentral's name for it is "partial 16S ribosomal RNA". It matches the Rfam family "Bacterial small subunit ribosomal RNA", at positions 524 to 776 of the family's 1533-position model. The record is from RNAcentral.
UACAGAGGGGGCAAGCGUUAUUCGGAAUCACUGGGCUUAAAGCGUGUGUAGGCGGAUCGUUAAGUACCUUGUGAAAUCCCACGGCUCAACCGUGGAACUGCUCGGUAUACUGGCGGUCUUGAGCCACCUAGGGGCAACUGGAACAAGCGGUGGAGCGGUGAAAUGCGUAGAUAUCGCUUGGAACGCCAACGGUGAAAACAGGUUGCUGGGGGUGUGCUGACGCUGAGACACGAAAGCCAGGGGAGCGAACGGG